RNAcentral lists this ribosomal RNA (614 nucleotides) under Curvibasidium nothofagi. RNAcentral describes it as "eukaryotic LSU rRNA". It matches the Rfam family "Eukaryotic large subunit ribosomal RNA", at positions 49 to 664 of the family's 3401-position model. Lineage: Eukaryota; Fungi; Basidiomycota; Microbotryomycetes. The record is from RNAcentral.
AGCGGAGGAAAAGAAACUAACAAGGAUUCCCCUAGUAACGGCGAGUGAAGCGGGAAGAGCUCAAAUUUGUAAUCUGGCACUUUCAGUGUCCGAGUUGUAAUCUCGAGAAGUGUUUUCCGCGCCGGACCGCAUACAAGUCUGUUGGAAUACAGCGUCAUAGUGGUGAGAACCCCGUAACUGAUGCGGAUGCCCGGUGCUUUGUGAUACACUUUCGAAGAGUCGAGUUGUUUGGGAAUGCAGCUCAAAUUGGGUGGUAAAUUCCAUCUAAAGCUAAAUAUUGGCGAGAGACCGAUAGCGAACAAGUACCGUGAGGGAAAGAUGAAAAGCACUUUGGAAAGAGAGUUAACAGUACGUGAAAUUGUUGGAAGGGAAACGAUUGAAGUCAGACUUGUUAUCUGGAGUUCAGCCUUUCGGUGUACUCUCCAGUUUACAGGCCAGCAUCAGUUUUCGGGGCGGGAAAAUGGUAAUUAGAAGGUAGCAGCCUAGCUGUGUUAUAGCUUUUUACUGGAUUCCGCUUGGGGACUGAGGAACGCAGUGUGCUUUUAGCAAUACCUCGGGUAUUUCACUUAGGAUGCUGGUGGAAUGGCUUUAAACGACCCCGUCUUGAAACACGG